This 661-nucleotide ribosomal RNA is filed under the name uncultured Lachnospiraceae bacterium. Its description in RNAcentral is "bacterial SSU rRNA". It matches the Rfam family "Bacterial small subunit ribosomal RNA", at positions 63 to 725 of the family's 1533-position model. The record is from RNAcentral. Lineage: Bacteria; Bacillati; Bacillota; Clostridia; Lachnospirales; Lachnospiraceae.
CGAACGAAGUUAGACAGAGGAAGUUUUCGGAUGGAAUCGGUAUAACUGAGUGGCGGACGGGUGAGUAACGCGUGGGAAACCUGCCCUGUACCGGGGGAUAACACUUAGAAAUAGGUGCUAAUACCGCAUAAGCGCACGGAACUGCACGGUUCCGUGUGAAAAACUCCGGUGGUACAGGAUGGUCCCGCGUCUGAUUAGCCAGUUGGCAGGGUAACGGCCUACCAAAGCGACGAUCAGUAGCCGGCCUGAGAGGGUGAACGGCCACAUUGGGACUGAGACACGGCCCAAACUCCUACGGGAGGCAGCAGUGGGGAAUAUUGCACAAUGGGGGAAACCCUGAUGCAGCGACGCCGCGUGAGUGAAGAAGUAUUUCGGUAUGUAAAGCUCUAUCAGCAGGGAAGAAAAUGACGGUACCUGACUAAGAAGCCCCGGCUAACUACGUGCCAGCAGCCGCGGUAAUACGUAGGGGGCAAGCGUUAUCCGGAUUUACUGGGUGUAAAGGGAGCGUAGACGGCAUGGCAAGCCAGAUGUGAAAACCCAGGGCUCAACCUUGGGAUUGCAUUUGGAACUGCCAGGCUGGAGUGCAGGAGAGGUAAGCGGAAUUCCUAGUGUAGCGGUGAAAUGCGUAGAUAUUAGGAGGAACACCAGUGGCGAAGGCGGC